GACAGAGGGUGCAAACGUUGUUCGGAAUUACUGGGCGUAAAGCGUGUGUAGGCUGCUACAUAAGUCGGAUGUGAAAGCCCCCGGCUCAACCGGGGAAGUGCAUCUGAAACUGGCGGGCUAGAGUACGAAAGAGGGUCGCGGAAUUCCCGGUGUAGAGGUGAAAUUCGUAGAUAUCGGGAGGAACACCGGUGGCGAAGGCGGCGACCUGGGUCGAUACUGACGCUGAGGUGCGAAAGCGUGGGGAGCAAACAGG
This 253-nucleotide ribosomal RNA is filed under the name uncultured bacterium. RNAcentral's name for it is "partial 16S ribosomal RNA". It matches the Rfam family "Bacterial small subunit ribosomal RNA", at positions 524 to 776 of the family's 1533-position model. The record is from RNAcentral.